UCCAAACGUUAAGUAGGCUGGUGAAAAGC
RNAcentral lists this small RNA (29 nucleotides) under Bombyx mori (domestic silkworm). RNAcentral describes it as "ovarian small RNA-26450". Lineage: Eukaryota; Metazoa; Arthropoda; Insecta; Lepidoptera; Bombycidae. The record is from RNAcentral.